UACGUAGGGUGCGAGCGUUGUCCGGAAUUAUUGGGCGUAAAGGGCUCGUAGGCGGUUUGUCGCGUCGGGAGUGAAAUCCACUGGCUUAACUGGUGGCUUGCUUUCGAUACGGUCAGACUGGAGGUAUGCAGGGGAGAACGGAAUUCCUGGUGUAGCGGUGAAAUGCGCAGAUAUCAGGAGGAACACCGGUGGCGAAGGCGGUUCUCUGGGCAUGUCCUGACGCUGAGGAGCGAAAGCGUGGGGAGCGAACAGG
This 253-nucleotide ribosomal RNA is filed under the name uncultured bacterium. RNAcentral describes it as "partial 16S ribosomal RNA". It matches the Rfam family "Bacterial small subunit ribosomal RNA", at positions 524 to 776 of the family's 1533-position model. The record is from RNAcentral.